GCCGGGCGAGGUGGCGGGCGUCUGUAGUCCCAGCUACUCGGGAGGCUGAGGCAGGAGAAUGGUCUAAACCCGGGAGGCGGAGCUUGCAGUGAGCUGAGAUCCGGCCACUGCACCCCAGCCUGGGCGACAGAGCAAGACUCUGUCUCAAAAAAAAAAAAAAAAAAAAGAAUCUAAUCUUUUCAUUUUCUUUUCUUUUCUUUUUUUUUUUCGAGACGGAGCCUCGCUCUGUCGCGGCCCAGGCUGGAGCGCAGUGGCCGGAUCUCAGCUCACUGCAAGCUCCGCCUCCCGGGUUUACGGCCAUUCUCCUGCCUCAG
RNAcentral lists this signal recognition particle RNA (314 nucleotides) under Macaca mulatta (Rhesus monkey). Its description in RNAcentral is "Metazoan signal recognition particle RNA (ENSMMUG00000064354.1)". It matches the Rfam family "Metazoan signal recognition particle RNA". From Rfam's summary of the family: The signal recognition particle (SRP) is a universally conserved ribonucleoprotein. It is involved in the co-translational targeting of proteins to membranes. Lineage: Eukaryota; Metazoa; Chordata; Mammalia; Primates; Cercopithecidae. The record is from RNAcentral.